This is a small nucleolar RNA of Peromyscus maniculatus bairdii (prairie deer mouse), 121 nucleotides long. Its record names the gene SNORA70. It matches the Rfam family "Small nucleolar RNA SNORA70". Rfam says of the family: snoRNA U70 seems to be exclusive to mammals and is a member of the H/ACA class of snoRNA which contain H (ANANNA) and ACA box motifs. H/ACA box snoRNAs are involved in the conversion of uridines to pseudouridines (5-ribosyluracil) a constituent of structural RNAs (transfer, ribosomal, small nuclear, and small nucleolar). The record is from Ensembl. NCBI's taxonomy places the organism in Eukaryota, Metazoa, Chordata, Mammalia, Rodentia, Cricetidae.
CUGUAGGCAGUUAAGUGGACCAGGUUUUUUCCUCACAGAAGUAUGCAAGGGCUGCAAUAGCACCCUCCUUGGGAGCGUGUAGCCUGUUGCUUGUGUUGUGUAAGGGACCUUGGAGACAGUU